ACUGGAAUAAGUUGAACCGAAAAGCAAUGCAUAACUGCAGCAUACAAAGAUUAGCAAAGCCAUACAUAUACAUAAGAAACCAGAUGUGAUUAUAUGGUCUUAAAGUAAUAUCGGGCAGCGACAGCUGAAGAUAGUUGGGCAACAAUAAUGAACGUACUUGUACCUUUGCAGGAAAGUAGAAGUGCAGUACUCCGGCCUGUUAUUUGUCGCUUAAGAAACCCCUUCAGCAUAUCUUCCUGGUUUGAACACAUGAACAGCUUUGCUUACAUCAAAGGAUUCUGAUAAAGACUACUUCUUAACUUCCAAUAACAUCCUUCUUAACUUCUCUCGCAACACUAACCGAGAGUCACGCGAGACUCUGUCCAACAAGAAAAAGGGACACGCCAUGAGACUAAUUAAAUUCUAUAUAAAAACCAUGUUUGCCUGUGUUUAGAUUAUACCUCCCCGGCCAAUCUCCGAGGACCCUCUUGUUUGCAUCAAGAGUGAUGUUCACAAACUCCUGAAAAAUGACAUGUUUUUCUUCAGAGGAUCCGGCUGCAGUACUAGAAAAUGAUAUUCAACAUAAGAGGAACUUAGUGCAGCUUAUAACAAUCACAUUACUGCAAAAAUUGGAGUAAUCUUCUGAUUAAACUAGAAAGACAGCUUAAACUAGAACCAAAGCUCACAUUAAACUAGAAAGAUAGCUGACAUAAUGUUUGCGUUUAG
RNAcentral lists this long non-coding RNA (705 nucleotides) under Daucus carota (carrot). Its description in RNAcentral is "long non-coding RNA (DCAR_LNC000447)". The record is from RNAcentral. Lineage: Eukaryota; Viridiplantae; Streptophyta; Magnoliopsida; Apiales; Apiaceae.